GAGGGUAUAGCUUAGUGGUAGAGUGUACGCUUAGCAUGCAUGAGGUCCUGGGUUCAACCCUAAAUACCUCCA
This 72-nucleotide transfer RNA is filed under the name Camelus bactrianus (Bactrian camel). It matches the Rfam family "tRNA". Rfam says of the family: Transfer RNA (tRNA) molecules are approximately 80 nucleotides in length. Their secondary structure includes four short double-helical elements and three loops (D, anti-codon, and T loops). RNAcentral also lists the same sequence under 3 other names. The record is from Rfam by way of RNAcentral. Lineage: Eukaryota; Metazoa; Chordata; Mammalia; Artiodactyla; Camelidae.